AUACUUACAUGGCAGGUGAGACACCAUGAUCAGGCAGGUGGUUUUCCCAGGGCGAGGCUCAUCCCCUGCACUCCGAGUGUGCUGACCUCUGCGAUUUCCCCAAAUGCGGGAAACUCGACUGCAUAAUUUGUGGUAGUGGGGGACUGCAUUCGCACUAAUUUCCCUG
Small nuclear RNA from Meleagris gallopavo (turkey), 166 nucleotides. It matches the Rfam family "U1 spliceosomal RNA". From Rfam's summary of the family: U1 is a small nuclear RNA (snRNA) component of the spliceosome (involved in pre-mRNA splicing). Its 5' end forms complementary base pairs with the 5' splice junction, thus defining the 5' donor site of an intron. There are significant differences in sequence and secondary structure between metazoan and yeast U1 snRNAs, the latter being much longer (568 nucleotides as compared to 164 nucleotides in human). The record is from Rfam. NCBI's taxonomy places the organism in Eukaryota, Metazoa, Chordata, Aves, Galliformes, Phasianidae.